GCAAGUCGAGCGAAUCGAUGGGAGCUUGCUCCCUGAGAUUAGCGGCGGACGGGUGAGUAACACGUGGGCAACCUGCCUAUAAGACUGGGAUAACUUCGGGAAACCGGAGCUAAUACCGGAUACGUUCUUUUCUCGCAUGAGAGAAGAUGGAAAGACGGUUUCGGCUGUCACUUAUAGAUGGGCCCGCGGCGCAUUAGCUAGUUGGUGAGGUAAUGGCUCACCAAGGCGACGAUGCGUAGCCGACCUGAGAGGGUGAUCGGCCACACUGGGACUGAGACACGGCCCAGACUCCUACGGGAGGCAGCAGUAGGGAAUCUUCCGCAAUGGACGAAAGUCUGACGGAGCAACGCCGCGUGAACGAAGAAGGCCUUCGGGUCGUAAAGUUCUGUUGUUAGGGAAGAACAAGUACCAGAGUAACUGCUGGUACCUUGACGGUACCUAACCAGAAAGCCACGGCUAACUACGUGCCAGCAGCCGCGGUAAUACGUAGGUGGCAAGCGUUGUCCGGAAUUAUUGGGCGUAAAGCGCGCGCAGGUGGUUCCUUAAGUCUGAUGUGAAAGCCCACGGCUCAACCGUGGAGGGUCAUUGGAAACUGGGGAACUUGAGUGCAGAAGAGGAAAGUGGAAUUCCAAGU
RNAcentral lists this ribosomal RNA (634 nucleotides) under uncultured Bacillus sp. Its description in RNAcentral is "bacterial SSU rRNA". It matches the Rfam family "Bacterial small subunit ribosomal RNA", at positions 57 to 674 of the family's 1533-position model. Lineage: Bacteria; Bacillati; Bacillota; Bacilli; Caryophanales; Bacillaceae. The record is from RNAcentral.